UACGUAGGGGGCAAGCGUUAUCCGGAUUUACUGGGUGUAAAGGGAGCGUAGACGGCUGUGCAAGUCUGAAGUGAAAGGCAUGGGCUCAACCUGUGGACUGCUUUGGAAACUGUGCAGCUAGAGUGUCGGAGAGGUAAGUGGAAUUCCUAGUGUAGCGGUGAAAUGCGUAGAUAUUAGGAGGAACACCAGUGGCGAAGGCGGCUUACUGGACGAUGACUAACGUUGAGGCUCGAAAGCGUGGGGAGCAAACAGG
This 253-nucleotide ribosomal RNA is filed under the name Dorea formicigenerans. Its description in RNAcentral is "partial 16S ribosomal RNA". It matches the Rfam family "Bacterial small subunit ribosomal RNA", at positions 524 to 776 of the family's 1533-position model. Lineage: Bacteria; Bacillati; Bacillota; Clostridia; Lachnospirales; Lachnospiraceae. The record is from RNAcentral.